CAGAGUUGCAAAACUCCCUAAACCCACUGUGAAUCUACCUGUUUUUAGCUACUUCGGCAGGCGGCCCCAGGGCGGGGCCAUUAGCCUUUUAGGUGCCUGCCAGAGUAUACAUAACUCUUGUUGCAACUGUACUACUCUGAGUUUCAAAACAAUUCAAGUUA
This 161-nucleotide unclassified non-coding RNA is filed under the name uncultured Sordariomycetes. Its description in RNAcentral is "sequence contains ITS1". Lineage: Eukaryota; Fungi; Ascomycota; Sordariomycetes. The record is from RNAcentral.